This 192-nucleotide ribosomal RNA is filed under the name Triticum aestivum (bread wheat). Its description in RNAcentral is "partial small subunit ribosomal RNA". The record is from RNAcentral. Lineage: Eukaryota; Viridiplantae; Streptophyta; Magnoliopsida; Poales; Poaceae.
AUGCAACUGGCUAGCCUACGCGGCGAUUGCGCGGGCCUGAUAAAUUCGGCAAACAUUAUCCUGCUGCCAAAAAAGGCAAACACCACCUGGAUUGGGGACUACCGUCCAAUCAGCCUGAUUCAUAGCAUUUCCAAGAUCUUCUCCAAGCUGUUGGCAAACCGUCUAGCUCCGAUGCUCCCUGCGCUAGUCUCC